RNAcentral lists this small nuclear RNA (158 nucleotides) under Crocodylus porosus (Australian saltwater crocodile). RNAcentral describes it as "U1 spliceosomal RNA (ENSCPRG00005010946.1)". The record is from RNAcentral. Lineage: Eukaryota; Metazoa; Chordata; Crocodylia; Crocodylidae.
AUACUUACCUGGCAGGGGAAAUACCGUGACCACUAAGGCAGUUUUCCUAGUCACUGGGGAUAACUACUUUUCUGGCACAGGGUAGUACCCAUGGAGGUAAUGUAGAGCUAACCUCCCACUUGCUGCUUGAGUGGGAAGAUCUUGGCUUUAUGCCCACU